UAAGGAAUAUUGGUCAAUGGACGCAAGUCUGAACCAGCCAUGCCGCGUGAAGGAUGAAGGCCCUCUGGGUUGUAAACUUCUUUUAUCUGGGACGAAAUCCCCCUUUCUAGGGGAGUUGACGGUACCAGAGGAAUAAGCACCGGCUAACUCCGUGCCAGCAGCCGCGGUAAUACGGAGGGUGCAAGCGUUAUCCGGAUUCACUGGGUUUAAAGGGUGCGUAGGCGGGAAGAUAAGUCAGUGGUGAAAGCUUUCAGCUUAACUGAAAAAUUGCCAUUGAUACUGUCUUUCUUGAAUAUAGUUGAGGUUGGCGGAAUGUGUCAUGUAGCGGUGAAAUGCUUAGAUAUGACACAGAACACCGAUUGCGAAGGCAGCUGGCUAAACUAUUAUUGACGCUGAGGCACGAAAGCGUGGGGAUCAAACAGGAUUAGAUACCCUGGUAGUCCACGCCCUAAACUAUGGAUACUCGACAUUAGCGAUACACCGUUAGUGUCUAAGCGAAAGCAUUAAGUAUCCCCACCUGGGAAGUACGACCGCAAGGUUG
Molecule: ribosomal RNA, 541 nt
Filed under: uncultured Cytophagales bacterium
Lineage: Bacteria; Pseudomonadati; Bacteroidota; Sphingobacteriia; Sphingobacteriales
Description: bacterial SSU rRNA
Rfam family: Bacterial small subunit ribosomal RNA
Source: RNAcentral